Molecule: ribosomal RNA, 253 nt
Filed under: uncultured bacterium
Lineage: Bacteria
Description: partial 16S ribosomal RNA
Rfam family: Bacterial small subunit ribosomal RNA
Source: RNAcentral
UACAGAGGUCCCAAGCGUUGUUCGGAUUCACUGGGCGUAAAGGGUGCGUAGGUGGCGAGGUAAGUCGGAUGUGAAAGCUCGGAGCUCAACUCCGAAAUGGCAUUGGAAACUACCUUGCUCGAGGGUUGGAGGGGGGACUGGAAUUCUCGGUGUAGCAGUGAAAUGCGUAGAUAUCGAGAGGAACACCAGUGGCGAAGGCGAGUCCCUGGACAAUACCUGACACUGAGGCACGAAAGCUAGGGGAGCAAACAGG